This 595-nucleotide long non-coding RNA is filed under the name Struthio camelus australis. Its description in RNAcentral is "lncRNA (ENSSCUG00000010447.1)". Lineage: Eukaryota; Metazoa; Chordata; Aves; Struthioniformes; Struthionidae. The record is from RNAcentral.
CUCGAUCUUUCACUGGAUCUCCUGACCCUGUGACAUCGUCUGUGGCAAGGAGCCCGUUGGAGGAUGAAAUAGGAUCUGGAUAAAUGUCCUAGCUGCUGACAUCAGUGAUGAAAUAAUAAUGCCCCUGCAGCCGCCCUUCUGUGGCAUAAUGACCCAAGCAGAUGGAGACGGAGGAGAAGGCUUCCUGGAAAGGGCUGCCUGGAGGCUCACCUGUGCUGCAAGAGGUGGAAGGGCUGCAUCCUCUCUGGAGCCAAAGCGUUUCUCUCCCUUGGAUGGAGCUGCCAGAGGCUUCAUGGCAUUCCUUGGACACCAGAAAUUGGGCAUCAGGCUCAAAACUCCACGUGAAUCUGGGCUGAGCAGACUGUAAACCAACUGAAUGAAAAAAGCAGCUCUUCGAGAAGCAAAAUUCACACCCUUCACACAAACUCCCAUGCUCCGAGAAACUUUGGCUUCACACACUGCCAGAGGAAACUUCUCAUAAACCACUGUAUGUUGGUUUAUGCACUGCAAAUCCCACAGAAUAUAUUAAAAAAGGUAGGGCUCAAGUCUGAGAUGUUACAGUGCAAAUGAACCUCCAGGGAGAUGAAUAUUUAAG